RNAcentral lists this ribosomal RNA (395 nucleotides) under uncultured bacterium. RNAcentral describes it as "partial 16S ribosomal RNA". It matches the Rfam family "Bacterial small subunit ribosomal RNA", at positions 523 to 916 of the family's 1533-position model. The record is from RNAcentral.
AUACGUAGGUGACAAGCGUUAUCCGGAUUUACUGGGCGUAAAGGGCGUGUAGGCGGUCUUGCAAGUCAGAAGUGAAAUUCCUGAGCUCAACUCGGGCGCUGCUUCUGAAACUGCAGGGCUUGAGUGCUGGAGGGGAUAGCGGAAUUCCCCGUGUAGCGGUGGAAUGCGUAGAGAUUGGGAAGAACACCGGUGGCGAAGGCGGCCGGCUGGGCCGGAUCCGACGCUGAGGCGCGAAAGCGUGGGGAGCAAACAGGAUUAGAUACCCUGGUGGUCCACGCCGUAAACGAUGGGUGCUAGGUGCCGGGGGGAGCGACCCCUUCGGUGCCGCAGCUAACGCGUUAAGCACCCCGCCUGGGGAGUACGGCCGCAAGGCUGAAACUCAAAGGAAUUGACGG